RNAcentral lists this ribosomal RNA (439 nucleotides) under uncultured bacterium. RNAcentral describes it as "partial 16S ribosomal RNA". It matches the Rfam family "Bacterial small subunit ribosomal RNA", at positions 338 to 795 of the family's 1533-position model. The record is from RNAcentral.
CCUACGGGAGGCAGCAGUGGGGGAUAUUGCACAAUGGGGGGAACCCUGAUGCAGCGACGCCGCGUGGGUGAAGGAGCGUUUCGGCGCGUAAAGCCCUAUCGGCAGGGAAGAAGAUGACGGUACCUGAGGAGGAAGCCACGGCUAACUACGUGCCAGCAGCCGCGGUAAUACGUAGGUGGCAAGCGUUGUCCGGAAUUACUGGGUGUAAAGGGAGCGUAGGCGGGACAGCAAGUCCAGUGUGAAAUCUAUCGGCUCAACCGAUAGCUGCGCUGGAAACUGUGGUUCUUGAGUGAAGUAGAGGCAGGCGGAAUUCCUAGUGUAGCGGUGAAAUGCGUAGAUAUUAGGAGGAACACCAGUGGCGAAGGCGGCCUGCUGGACUUUUACUGACGCUGAGGCUCGAAAGUGUGGGUAGCAAACAGGAUUAGAUACCCCUGUAGUC